RNAcentral lists this ribosomal RNA (596 nucleotides) under Aspergillus sp. BAB-5550. RNAcentral describes it as "eukaryotic LSU rRNA". The stretch from base 214 to 367 matches the Rfam family "5.8S ribosomal RNA". The record is from RNAcentral. Lineage: Eukaryota; Fungi; Ascomycota; Eurotiomycetes; Eurotiales; Aspergillaceae.
UUCCGUAGGUGAACCUGCGGAAGGAUCAUUACCGAGUGUAGGGUUCCUAGCGAGCCCAACCUCCCACCCGUGUUUACUGUACCUUAGUUGCUUCGGCGGGCCCGCCAUUCAUGGCCGCCGGGGGCUCUCAGCCCCGGGCCCGCGCCCGCCGGAGACACCACGAACUCUGUCUGAUCUAGUGAAGUCUGAGUUGAUUGUAUCGCAAUCAGUUAAAACUUUCAACAAUGGAUCUCUUGGUUCCGGCAUCGAUGAAGAACGCAGCGAAAUGCGAUAACUAGUGUGAAUUGCAGAAUUCCGUGAAUCAUCGAGUCUUUGAACGCACAUUGCGCCCCCUGGUAUUCCGGGGGGCAUGCCUGUCCGAGCGUCAUUGCUGCCCAUCAAGCACGGCUUGUGUGUUGGGUCGUCGUCCCCUCUCCGGGGGGGACGGGCCCCAAAGGCAGCGGCGGCACCGCGUCCGAUCCUCGAGCGUAUGGGGCUUUGUCACCCGCUCUGUAGGCCCGGCCGGCGCUUGCCGAACGCAAAUCAAUCUUUUUCCAGGUUGACCUCGGAUCAGGUAGGGAUACCCGCUGAACUUAAGCAUAUCAAUAAGCGGAGGA